AAAUUGAAGAGUUUGAUCAUGGCUCAGAUUGAACGCUGGCGGCAGGCUUAACACAUGCAAGUCGAACGGUAGCAGGAAGAAGCUUGCUUCUUUGCUGACGAGUGGCGGACGGGUGAGUAAUGCUUGGGAAUCUGGCUUAUGGAGGGGGAUAACUACGGGAAACUGUAGCUAAUACCGCGUAAUAUCUUCGGAUUAAAGGGUGGGACUUUCGGGCCACCUGCCAUAAGAUGAGCCCAAGUGGGAUUAGGUAGUUGGUGGGGUAAAGGCCUACCAAGCCGACGAUCUCUAGCUGGUCUGAGAGG
RNAcentral lists this ribosomal RNA (302 nucleotides) under Glaesserella parasuis. Its description in RNAcentral is "partial 16S ribosomal RNA". It matches the Rfam family "Bacterial small subunit ribosomal RNA", at positions 1 to 299 of the family's 1533-position model. The record is from RNAcentral. Lineage: Bacteria; Pseudomonadati; Pseudomonadota; Gammaproteobacteria; Pasteurellales; Pasteurellaceae.